This 743-nucleotide ribosomal RNA is filed under the name uncultured Prevotellaceae bacterium. Its description in RNAcentral is "bacterial SSU rRNA". It matches the Rfam family "Bacterial small subunit ribosomal RNA", at positions 95 to 840 of the family's 1533-position model. Lineage: Bacteria; Pseudomonadati; Bacteroidota; Bacteroidia; Bacteroidales; Prevotellaceae. The record is from RNAcentral.
CCGGCGCACGGGUGAGUAACGCGUAUCCAACCUACCCAUUACUGUGGGAUAACCUACCGAAAGGCAGACUAAUACCGCAUAGUCUUCGAUGACGGCAUCAGAUUUGAAGUAAAGAUUUAUCGGUAAUGGAUGGGGAUGCGUCUGAUUAGCUUGUUGGCGGGGUAACGGCCCACCAAGGCAGCGAUCAGUAGGGGUUCUGAGAGGAAGGUCCCCCACAUUGGAACUGAGACACGGUCCAAACUCCUACGGGAGGCAGCAGUGAGGAAUAUUGGUCAAUGGGCGCGAGCCUGAACCAGCCAAGUAGCGUGCAGGAUGACGGCCCUAUGGGUUGUAAACUGCUUUUGUAUGGGGAUAAAGUCAAUCACGUGUGAUUGUUUGCAGGUACCAUACGAAUAAGGACCGGCUAAUUCCGUGCCAGCAGCCGCGGUAAUACGGAAGGUCCGGGCGUUAUCCGGAUUUAUUGGGUUUAAAGGGAGCGUAGGCCGGAGAUUAAGUGUGUUGUGAAAUGUAGACGCUCAACGUCUGACUUGCAGCGCAUACUGGUUUCCUUGAGUACGCACAACGUUGGCGGAAUUCGUCGUGUAGCGGUGAAAUGCUUAGAUAUGACGAAGAACUCCGAUUGCGAAGGCAGCUGACGGGAGCGCAACUGACGCUUAAGCUCGAAGGUGCGGGUAUCGAACAGGAUUAGAUACCCUGGUAGUCCGCACAGUAAACGAUGGAUGCCCGCUGUUGGUACCUGGUAU